Molecule: ribosomal RNA, 1972 nt
Filed under: Morganella morganii
Lineage: Bacteria; Pseudomonadati; Pseudomonadota; Gammaproteobacteria; Enterobacterales; Morganellaceae
Description: partial 23S ribosomal RNA
Rfam family: Bacterial large subunit ribosomal RNA
Source: RNAcentral
GGACCGAACCGACUAAUGUUGAAAAAUUAGCGGAUGACUUGUGGCUGGGGGUGAAAGGCCAAUCAAACCGGGAGAUAGCUGGUUCUCCCCGAAAGCUAUUUAGGUAGCGCCUCGUGAACUCAUCUCCGGGGGUAGAGCACUGUUUCGGCUAGGGGGUCAUCCCGACUUACCAACCCGAUGCAAACUGCGAAUACCGGAGAAUGUUAUCACGGGAGACACACGGCGGGUGCUAACGUUCGUCGUGAAGAGGGAAACAACCCAGACCGCCGGCUAAGGUCCCAAAGUCAUAAUUAAGUGGGAAACGAAGUGGGAAGGCUCAGACAGCCAGGAUGUUGGCUUAGAAGCAGCCAUCAUUUAAAGAAAGCGUAAUAGCUCACUGGUCGAGUCGGCCUGCGCGGAAGAUGUAACGGGGCUAAAUUAUGCACCGAAGCCGCGGCAGCGAUAUGUAAAUAUUGUUGGGUAGGGGAGCGUUCUGUAAGCCUGUGAAGGUGGCCUGUGAGGGCUGCUGGAGGUAUCAGAAGUGCGAAUGCUGACAUAAGUAACGAUAAUGCGGGUGAAAAACCCGCACGCCGGAAGACCAAGGGUUCCUGUCCAACGUUAAUCGGGGCAGGGUGAGUCGACCCCUAAGGCGAGGCUGAAAAGCGUAGUCGAUGGGCAACGGGUUAAUAUUCCCGUACUGGUGGUAACUGCGAAGGGGGGACGGAGAAAGCUAAAUCAUCCGGGCGACGGUUGUCCCGGUUUAAGCGUGCAGGUGGACUGACCAGGCAAAUCCGGUCGGUUGUUAACACUGAGGCGUGACGACGAGCCACUACGGUGGUGAAGUGAUUGAUGCUCUGCUUCCGGGAAAAGCCUCUAAGCUCCAGGUUACCAUUAAUCGUACCCCAAACCGACACAGGUGGUCAGGUAGAGAAUACUCAGGCGCUUGAGAGAACUCGGGUGAAGGAACUAGGCAAAAUGGUGCCGUAACUUCGGGAGAAGGCACGCUGGCAUUAGGUGAAGUGGUUUACCCACGGAGCUGAAGCCAGCCGCAGAUACCAGCUGGCUGCAACUGUUUAUUAAAAACACAGCACUGUGCAAACACGAAAGUGGACGUAUACGGUGUGACGCCUGCCCGGUGCCGGAAGGUUAAUUGAUGAGGUCAGCCGCAAGGCGAAGCUUCUGAUCGAAGCCCCGGUAAACGGCGGCCGUAACUAUAACGGUCCUAAGGUAGCGAAAUUCCUUGUCGGGUAAGUUCCGACCUGCACGAAUGGCGUAAUGAUGGCCAGGCUGUCUCCACCCGAGACUCAGUGAAAUUGAACUCGCUGUGAAGAUGCAGUGUACCCGCGGCAAGACGGAAAGACCCCGUGAACCUUUACUAUAGCUUGACACUGAACAUUGAGCCUUGAUGUGUAGGAUAGGUGGGAGGCAACGAAGUGUGGACGCCAGUCUGCACGGAGCCAUCCUUGAAAUACCACCCUUUAACGUUUGAUGUUCUAACCCGGGUCCAUAAUCUGGAUCGGGGACCGUGUCUGGUGGGUAGUUUGACUGGGGCGGUCUCCUCCCAAAGAGUAACGGAGGAGCACGAAGGUUGGCUAAGCAUGGUCGGACAUCAUGCGGUUAGUGCAAAGGCAUAAGCCAGCUUGACUGCGAGAGUGACGGCUCGAGCAGGUACGAAAGUAGGUCUUAGUGAUCCGGUGGUUCUGAAUGGAAGGGCCAUCGCUCAACGGAUAAAAGGUACUCCGGGGAUAACAGGCUGAUACCGCCCAAGAGUUCAUAUCGACGGCGGUGUUUGGCACCUCGAUGUCGGCUCAUCACAUCCUGGGGCUGAAGUAGGUCCCAAGGGUAUGGCUGUUCGCCAUUUAAAGUGGUACGCGAGCUGGGUUUAGAACGUCGUGAGACAGUUCGGUCCCUAUCUGCCGUGGGCGCUGGAAGAUUGAGAGGGGUUGCUCCUAGUACGAGAGGACCGGAGUGAACGCACCACUGGUGUACGGGU